AGUGAACGCUGGCGGUAGGCCUAACACAUGCAAGUCGAACGGCAGCACAGUAAGAGCUUGCUCUUACGGGUGGCGAGUGGCGGACGGGUGAGGAAUACAUCGGAAUCUACUUUUUCGUGGGGGAUGACGUAGGGAAACUUACGCUAAUACCGCAUGCGACCUACGGGUGAAAGCAGGGGAUCUUCGGACCUUGCGCGAUUGAAUGAGCCGAUGUCGGAUUAGCUAGUUGGCGGGGUAAAGGCCCACCAAGGCGACGAUCCGUAGCUGGUCUGAGAGGAUGAUCAGCCACACUGGAACUGAGACACGGUCCAGACUCCUACGGGAGGCAGCAGUGGGGAAUAUUGGACAAUGGGCGCAAGCCUGAUCCAGCCAUACCGCGUGGGUGAAGAAGGCCUUCGGGUUGUAAAGCCCUUUUGUUGGGAAAGAAAAGCAGCAGGUUAAUACCCCGCUGUUCUGACGGUACCCAAAGAAUAAGCACCGGCUAACUUCGUG
This 492-nucleotide ribosomal RNA is filed under the name uncultured bacterium. RNAcentral's name for it is "partial 16S ribosomal RNA". It matches the Rfam family "Bacterial small subunit ribosomal RNA", at positions 29 to 507 of the family's 1533-position model. The record is from RNAcentral.